AAACCAAGAAAUUUAGUCAUUCUUUUAUGGUAAAAAGACAGUUAAGCAAAUAUAGAAAAGUUAUUAGACCCUUAGUAUAGGAGUAAAAUCUAAAUACUAAAAGUUAUACGGAAUAUGGCUUAGUUAAAAUGCUGAAGCUGUGAUAGCUUUAAGGGAAACUGGGAUUGGAUACCCCAUUAUUUUUAGUUGUAAAUUUAGUUUAAGCUUACCAGAGUACUACGAAUAAAAAAUUUAAAACUCAAAGAGCUUGGCGGUGUUUUAGACCUCUCAGGGGAACCUGUCUCAUAAUCGACAAUCCACGUUAAACCUAACCUUUGAUAGCAACUCAGCCUGUAUACCGUUGUCGUAAGGUAACUUCUUAAAAUAUAGUAGUUAGCUUGAAAAUUUUAUUAAUUAAAACGUCAAAUCAAGGUGCAGCUAAUAAAAAGGUGAAGAUGGGUUACAAUUACAUAUUUGUAAAUACGGAUAAACAUUUGAAA
RNAcentral lists this ribosomal RNA (479 nucleotides) under Conus messiasi. RNAcentral's name for it is "partial 12S ribosomal RNA". Lineage: Eukaryota; Metazoa; Mollusca; Gastropoda; Neogastropoda; Conidae. The record is from RNAcentral.